CCUACGGGUGGCAGCAGUGGGGAAUAUUGGACAAUGGGCGAAAGCCUGAUCCAGCAAUGCCGCGUGAGUGAUGAAGGCCUUAGGGUUGUAAAGCUCUUUUACCCGGGAAGAUAAUGACUGUACCGGGAGAAUAAGCCCCGGCUAACUCCGUGCCAGCAGCCGCGGUAAUACGGAGGGGGCUAGCGUUGUUCGGAAUUACUGGGCGUAAAGCGCACGUAGGCGGCUAUUUAAGUCAGAGGUGAAAGCCUGGAGCUCAACGCCAGAACUGCCUGUGAGACUGGAUAGCUAGAAUCCUGGAGAGGUGAGUGGAAUUCCGAGUGUAGAGGUGAAAUUCGUAGAUAUUCGGAAGAACACCAGUGGCGAAGGCGGCUCACUGGACAGGUAUUGACGCUGAGGUGCGAAAGCGUGGGGAGCAAACAGGAUUAGAUACCCUAGUAGUCAC
This 442-nucleotide ribosomal RNA is filed under the name uncultured Sphingobium sp. RNAcentral's name for it is "bacterial SSU rRNA". It matches the Rfam family "Bacterial small subunit ribosomal RNA", at positions 338 to 798 of the family's 1533-position model. The record is from RNAcentral. Lineage: Bacteria; Pseudomonadati; Pseudomonadota; Alphaproteobacteria; Sphingomonadales; Sphingobiaceae.